This 386-nucleotide ribosomal RNA is filed under the name uncultured bacterium. RNAcentral's name for it is "bacterial SSU rRNA". It matches the Rfam family "Bacterial small subunit ribosomal RNA", at positions 28 to 380 of the family's 1533-position model. The record is from RNAcentral.
GACGAACGCUGGCGGCGUGCCUAAUACAUGCAAGUCGAACGCACUCUCGUUUAGAUUGAAGGAGCUUGCUCCUGAUUGAUAAACAUUUGAGUGAGUGGCGGACGGGUGAGUAACACGUGGGUGACCUGCCCUAAAGUGGGGGAUAACAUUUGGAAACAGGUGCUAAUACCGCAUAAAACCUAACACCGCAUGGUGUAGGGUUGAAAGAUGGUUUCGGCUAUCACUUUAGGAUGGACCCGCGGUGCAUAGUUAGUUGGUGAGGUAAAGGCUCACCAAGACCGUGAUGCAUAGCCGACCUGAGAGGGUAAUCGGCCACACUGGGACUGAGACACGGCCCAGACUCCUACGGGAGGCAGCCAGUAGGGAAUCUUCCACAAUGGACGAAA